UCCGGAUCAGCUUCAACCCCCUUUGAAGAAAUUAUAAAACCAAGGAAAACAACCUUGGGCAGCAUGAAGGAACAUUUCUUUAAAUUGAUAAACAACUUCUCUUGCCGGAGUACUCGGAGAACUUGUUUCAGGUGAUUCUGCUGCUCUUCUU
This is a long non-coding RNA of Telopea speciosissima, 151 nucleotides long. RefSeq lists it as uncharacterized. Lineage: Eukaryota; Viridiplantae; Streptophyta; Magnoliopsida; Proteales; Proteaceae. The record is from RefSeq and is a predicted model, not a curated record. The transcript has 3 exons.